This 627-nucleotide ribosomal RNA is filed under the name uncultured Verrucomicrobiota bacterium. RNAcentral's name for it is "bacterial SSU rRNA". It matches the Rfam family "Bacterial small subunit ribosomal RNA", at positions 70 to 680 of the family's 1533-position model. The record is from RNAcentral. Lineage: Bacteria; Pseudomonadati; Verrucomicrobiota.
UCCGUUGUAGCAAUACGAUGGAAAGUCUAGUGGCGAACGGGUGCUUAACACGUGGGCAACCUGCCAUGAAGUGGGGGAUAGCUCGCCGAAAGGCGAAUUAAUACCGCAUGUGAUUAGAGAGGACAUCCUUUCGAAAUUAAAGUCGGGGCAACCUGACGCUUCUUGUGGGGCCCGCGGCCUAUCAGCUAGUUGGUGAGGUAACGGCUCACCAAGGCUUUGACGGGUAGCUGGUCUGAGAGGACGACCAGCCACACUGGGACUGAGACACGGCCCAGACACCUACGGGUGGCAGCAGUCGAGAAUUUUUGACAAUGGGGGAAACCCUGAUCGAGCGACGCCGCGUGGAGGAUGAAGGUCUUCGGAUUGUAAACUCCUGUCAUUGGGGAACAAUGCACAGAUAUUAACUGUAUUUGUGUUGAUAGUACCCGAAGAGGAAGAGACGGCUAACUCUGUGCCAGCAGCCGCGGUAAUACAGAGGUCUCAAGCGUUGUUCGGAUUCAUUGGGCGUAAAGGGUGCGUAGGCGGCGCGGUAAGUCGGGUGUGAAAUCUCGGAGCUUAACUCCGAAACUGCAUUCGAUACUGCCGUGCUUGAGGACUGGAGAGGAGACUGGAAUUCACGGUGUAGCA